UGGGGAAUAUUGGGACAAUGGGGGAACCGUGAUCCAGCCAUGCCGCGUGUGUGAAGAAGGCCUUAUGGUUGUAAAGCACUUUAAGCGAGGAGGAGGCUCUUUUGGUUAAUACCCAAGAUGAGUGGACGUUACUCGCAGAAUAAGCACCGGCUAACUCUGUGCCAGCAGCCGCGGUAAUACAGAGGGUGCGAGCGUUAAUCGGAUUUACUGGGCGUAAAGCGUGCGUAGGCGGCUUUUUAAGUCGGAUGUGAAAUCCCCGAGCUUAACUUGGGAAUUGCAUUCGAUACUGGGAAGCUAGAGUAUGGGAGAGGAUGGUAGAAUUCCAGGUGUAGCGGUGAAAUUGCGUAGAGAUCUUGGAGGAAUACCGAUGGCGAAGGCAGCCAUCUGGCCUAAUACUGACGCUGAGGUACGAAAAGCAUGGGGAGCAAAACA
Molecule: ribosomal RNA, 432 nt
Filed under: uncultured Acinetobacter sp.
Lineage: Bacteria; Pseudomonadati; Pseudomonadota; Gammaproteobacteria; Moraxellales; Moraxellaceae
Description: bacterial SSU rRNA
Rfam family: Bacterial small subunit ribosomal RNA
Source: RNAcentral